CAGGUCCUUACUGAGAACAGGCUGCGAGACAUAUGCUAACCCUUCCCAUUUCUGUAGCUGUUGAAGCAGUAACAGGUAUUUCUAGGUACUCUUUUGAGAGCCUUUAUAUAGAUAAAUCUUAUGUAGCUACGAUUUACUCCGCUAUUUAAAGGCAUCAAUGAACAGGCCCAGCAGUGCUCCUGGAAAGACAAUUAAUACAGCUGGACGCUGCCCCAGGCAUAGACAGUCCCAAAGGAUAGUUUACAAAAUUAGUAUUUUUCAUUUGAUUCACUGUUGUUAUUGGCCAAAAGACAUAAAAAAAUGUUUGGGGCGUAAUAUUUGCCUGUGAAAAAUGUUUAGCAAUAUGCUCAGCAAAAGAUACCAUCUCGGUGAAAGAAUGCUGAAGUAACAAGAUGAGUUUCUGACAGGACUAUCAAAGACAAGCGGCCAAGUCACUUAAUGUCUGUAUUCCACAGUUUUCCCACUUGCAAAAGUGGGCCAGUAAUGCUCAGCUCCAUGUUAAACGACUGGCAAUAAUGGGGAUAAUAAUAAAUUGUGCUUUUCAAAGUGCUUUGAGAUCUGCAGAUGAAAAGGACCAGCGAUGCUAUAAGGGUGUUUAAUGUUAUUUUACCGAUUCCAGUUAAGCAAACUUGGCCCAGGUGAUUGUUAACGACAUCAGUCAAAUUCAGUACCCUGUUGUCAUUAGCCAGAUAUGUGCUCCGCGGACUGCAGCUCCAACGGGGCCACCUGGGAAACCCAUCAUGAAUAGCACGCAGAACCUCGCUCCCAAGCAGUGGAACAAACUCCAUCAUCCCCUGGGCAGGGCUUCGCAGCAGGAAUGUGCAAACACAGCUCCCCACUUUGGACCGCUUGUGCAUUCCCCUCUUCCGGUCGGGCAGAUGAGUUUGGAAGCCAAUGGGCUCCAUUCAUCCCUGACAUUCCUCUGGCAGAACACACUCUCCAGACCUCCAGGGGCAGAAAGUUUGCCAACAGUAAGGAUGUGGUGGAGUACGCUUCUGCAACCCCCCACUGUGCCAGGGGACUGGAGCAAGCUGGAGCAGCCCCAAUGGGUACGUCUACACUGCACACUAAGCCCAGGCUCUGACUCAGGUUUGAGCCCAAAUUCCCCUUCACACAAAUCAGUCCGACUCAGGGCAGCAGGUGCUCAGGACCAAGGACCCUGCUAAGGGAGUGGGUCAGAGCCUGAGUCCCGCCGAGUCUUGGGUCCAACACCUGUCAUUUUGCAGUGUGGAUGCAGAGCAAGCUGCAGACCUGAGUCCGAAACAAUGGUGUAGUGGGGCUGGCUCUCUGUGGAACCAUGUACUGGGACUAUUGCCUCAUGGCGCACGCCAUUUUGAGGUCGCACUGCAUGGAGGAUGCCAUUUUAGAACGUGCGAGGUCAUGCUGGCAGGGGCAUUCUGGUAAAUGCCCAUUCCGGACUACACCACUGGUCAGAAGGACUGCGCAGUGCAGUACAGACGUAUUAGCACUGCUGUGUCGGGCCGUGCGGACCAGGGUCCAGCAAUUGUAAACCCAGGUUUAUAAUGUAGUGUGGACGCUCAAGUGGCGGCUUGGAUACAUGGAGUCCCACAAGCCUGGGUCCCCAAGACCCGAGUUCGCAAUGUAUCCAAAGUAUCCAGAGUGGGCAGAGGUAUCCCAAGUGGGCAGAGCCAGCCCAGGAGAGGGUGUGGCCAGGCCUGUCAGGAGCUGUGUUGAUUCAGUGCCUUCCUUGGGCAGCCUCCACUCUCCUGUGGAACCCUGGGCUGAUAUUAUUUUAAAGCUCCCUUCUCUAGCGAAACAGCUGUGGGAGGCAGCUGUGGUGCCACCCUCCCCGCAGGGAGAAUCCGCCCCAGGGUCCAUGAGUUCCCUGGCUGCUCCCACAGGAGGAAACCCAGACAUUGUAGCUCCUGCGUCUGACUCCUGUGAUGGUCCUCCUGCCUGCCCUCACCUGUGCCACAGUAACAGAGACGUGCUGGGGGAGCUUUGCUCCUGCUGGCGGUUCCCUUCGACCUUUGGGAUCUCUGGGGUAACACGGCCUCCUGUGAUCUUGGCCACUUGUGGCUUUUAAGAAAUCCAGCACUGUUCUUGCAGGGAUGUUAGCCUGAGGCUCCUGGCUAGACUUCAGCUGGGGGAUUCCAAGGGGCCAAUGUCAUCUUUGGUAAAACUUCAUUGACCUCAGCAUAGUUACACCAAGGAUAAACUAUGCCAGCUUGUGCGCCAGGACUCAUGAAACUGGGCAGUCACUUACCUUAUAACCUGACUGUGGUCACAGGUCAUCUACCUACUCAAGCCAUAGCACCCCUUGGUAAGUCCUGUGUGACUUCUCAUCUCCAUCAGGAGUCAGGAUUGACAUGUACAACCUCCCGUAAGGUGGAAAGGUCACAUACUGAUGUGAUUGACUCCAUCUGCAGCAAUGUGUUGGGUGAAGCUAAUGUGGCUUGAAAGCAAUGUGUUCACGGAUUGAGCAAUAUGCGAUGGAUGCUUGUUUGGCUUCUUUCUCUGGCAACGCCCAUAAAAUGAACUUGUGACAAAGAA
Chelonia mydas (Green sea turtle) is the source of this 2514-nucleotide long non-coding RNA. RefSeq lists it as uncharacterized. NCBI's taxonomy places the organism in Eukaryota, Metazoa, Chordata, Testudines, Cheloniidae. The record is from RefSeq and is a predicted model, not a curated record. The transcript has 2 exons.